This 253-nucleotide ribosomal RNA is filed under the name uncultured prokaryote. Its description in RNAcentral is "partial 16S ribosomal RNA". It matches the Rfam family "Bacterial small subunit ribosomal RNA", at positions 525 to 777 of the family's 1533-position model. The record is from RNAcentral.
ACGAGGGGGGCGAGUGUUGUUCGGAAUUAUUGGGCGUAAAGAGCUCGUAGGCGGUCUGUCGCGUCUGCUGCGAAAUCCCAGGGCUUAACCCUGGGCCUGCAGUGGGUACGGGCAGACUAGAGUGCGGUAGGGGAGAUCGGAAUUCCUGGUGUAGCGGUGAAAUGCGCAGAUAUCAGGAGGAACACCGGUGGCGAAGGCGGAUCUCUGGGCCGUAACUGACGCUGAGGAGCGAAAGCAUGGGUAGCGAACAGGA